RNAcentral lists this ribosomal RNA (290 nucleotides) under uncultured bacterium. RNAcentral describes it as "partial 16S ribosomal RNA". It matches the Rfam family "Bacterial small subunit ribosomal RNA", at positions 337 to 644 of the family's 1533-position model. The record is from RNAcentral.
GCCUACGGGGGGCAGCAGCGGGGAAUAUUGCACAAUGGGGGAAACCCUGAUGCAGCGACGCCGCGUGAGUGAAGAAGUAUUUCGGUAUGUAAAGCUCUAUCAGCAGGGAAGAAAAUGACAGUACCUGACCAAGAAGCCCCGGCUAACUACGUGCCAGCAGCCGCGGUAAUACGUAGGGGGCAAGCGUUAUCCGGAUUUACUGGGUGUAAAGGGAGCGCAGGCGGCGUGGCAAGUCAGAUGUGAAAACCCGGGGCCCAACCCCGGGAGUGCAUUUGAAACUGCCAUGCUGG